UUGGGGAUGUGCUCCCCAGUGCUCAGCCAGGAACUGCUGACAUGUCCGAGUUGGUAUUCUUGAGUUGAUGGAAAUGGAGGGUGAAAACACUAAAGAAGAUCUGCAAGGGAAGAAAAGUCUGAGUGAGAAAGUUUCUCUCUAUAGAGGUGACAUUACGCUGCUUGAGGUUGAUGCCAUCGUUAAUGCUGGUAGGUGGUUAAAUAUUUUAUGUAGCUAUGCCUUGAAAAUUCUUUAUAGCUCCAUGGUACAAGUGUGAACUCUGAAAACUUGCCUAAAACUGGUGCAUCCUGUGGAAAUCAGUUGAAAAAUGGCUUUUCCCCCAGUUCCUUCAUAUUGUAUCUGUUCAUCCUGUGUGCAUUUACUGUGGCAGAGUUUAUUGUGAAACUUUAAUAGCAUGGUUGCCAUGAAAAAAGUAAUGAUCUUAUGUCCAUGUUUUGGCUGAACUUGGUUAGCUGAGACUUCACACUUUGCGUUGUAGAAGGCUCAUUUUUGUUACUAAGCUAAUACAGUACAUUCCAGUCUGCUUUUAUAAAUCAAGCCACUAGUGGGCUAGGUAAUGUGAGAACUUCAACAACAAGGGGAUAGGAAAACAGAAUUUGGUUUAUGUGGUUUUCAUAUUUGGUUUCUUGUUGGGAGAUUGUAUUUUUCAAGUUUUUGGCCAUGAUCUACAGAGUUUUACAUGUUUUAGUACCUCUUUGUGCUUAGUGAUUGUGUCCCUAUGUGUGCAGCCGAGGUGAAGAACUGUGUGUACAUCUUGUGACAAAAAGAGGGAAAUGCCUGUGCAAUUAAUUACUUAAUUAGUGUAUUAGUAAUUCAGUGUUUUGGCAAAAAAACAAUGGGAAAGUUUACCCCUGUGCACAUGCCCAUAGCAAAAUCUUGCCUGCACUCUCCACUCCAAAAAGAGUGUGUGGUUUGUGUGUCCUGAGGCUGAAAUUUUUUUCCCUCCUAGUAUUUGAGUGGCAUUGAUUAACUGAUUAAUUUUCAAGAAAUAAUUUUGGUGGUAUUCAUUUUUUGGAAGGAAAUGUGCUGUGGUAUCUUCUCCGUGAUGGAAUAAAGUUCAGAGGUUGUAAAAGGGUUGUAAUGGC
RNAcentral lists this long non-coding RNA (1085 nucleotides) under Cyanistes caeruleus (blue tit). RNAcentral's name for it is "lncRNA (ENSCCEG00000019444.1)". Lineage: Eukaryota; Metazoa; Chordata; Aves; Passeriformes; Paridae. The record is from RNAcentral.